Molecule: ribosomal RNA, 314 nt
Filed under: uncultured bacterium
Lineage: Bacteria
Description: bacterial SSU rRNA
Rfam family: Bacterial small subunit ribosomal RNA
Source: RNAcentral
GAUGAACGCUGGCGGCGUGCUUAACACAUGCAAGUCGAGGGGCAGCAUGAUUGAAGCUUGCUUCAAUCGAUGGCGACCGGCGCACGGGUGAGUAACACGUAUCCAACCUGCCGAUAACUCGGGGAUAGCCUUUCGAAAGAAAGAUUAAUACCCGAUAGCAUAGUAUUUCCGCAUGGUUUCACUAUUAAAGAACUUCGGUUAUCGAUGGGGAUGCGUUCCAUUAGAUAGUUGGCGGGGUAACGGCCCACCAAGUCAACGAUGGAUAGGGGUUCUGAGAGGAAGGUCCCCCACAUUGGAACUGGGACACGGUCCAA